AUGGCACUGAGUACUACCUUGGUGUGGAUUCAAUCUGCAUCCAUGACAGCUGGAAUCCUAGUGACAUUGCCAACAGCUCUGACAUUGCCCUGCUGUGCCUCGGAUCUCCUGCCAAUGCCAACGGGUUCGCUGAGCUGGGAGCGCUUCCACCUAAGGGAGAAAUUUUUCCCAAUGACUAUUCCUGCCGUGUUACUGGCUGAGAAGUGGUCAGUGGUGAGUGAGGGGGAAGGAGGAGGGUCCAGGGGGGCAACCAUACAGAUAAAGCUUCUUUCCUCAACCCCUGGAGCUGCUGGGCCAAGCUGUCACCCUUUCUCGUGUCCCCUCUGCUGUGCAGUGAGUGGUGGCAGCAUGGACAGGCUGCAGGAGGUGAUGCUGCCAGUGGUCACCACGAUAUCCCUGCUCCCAGGAGGGCUGGUGGGGAUCCCAGGCAAGGACAGCAUACUCUGUGCAGGUGGAGAUGGUGUGAGGGCAGGAUGCAGUGUAAGAGCUCUUAUAAUCAGAGGGGUUUCAAGCUGCCCUCUUUCUUUCUCCCUCCUUUCUCACCUUGCUGUGCCUCACGUUCUGGUUUUGCCAUUUCUUCACCUGCAGUAGUUCUCCUGCAAAUCUUGGCCCCUUUUUGCUGCUUUCUGCUGAGUAUCUUCUGAACCAGGCCUUCUCCACAUUCUUCCAGGAAUCAGCAAGCAGAGAGAAAAACCUCCAGCUCCUCAGGGUGCACCUCUCCUCUCUGAUUCUGGAGAGUAGAUUGUCCCUGUCUCUCAGCAGCGUGUCCCAAGUUCCAGAUCCUGGGGACAAGGGUGAGACUUUGGCAGUCACCUCUGCCCUGACCCAAAGGGUGAAGCUACAAGGAAGUUUUCCCACUCUUCCAGUGCUGCUGUUUUGCUUUGUUGUACCCUGAGCCAGGCAUUGCUACAUCCUGCUUGUCAACCUUCUCCUUCCCAUCCACUCUGUUUGCAGCAGAGCUUGCUGCAAGUUUGGGCUAUGUCCAACAGCUUUCUCUGGCCCAGAGGUGGGAAAAGAAGAUAUUGUGAGGUUCCCAUUAUCCCAGAGGAUCCAGGUGGCCUCAGCAUCAAGGCAAGGAGGUUUGGCAUGAGAAGUCAAGAAAUAUUUGUUACCUCUUCCUGUAUUCCCUUCACUGCAAAGGUGGCUUCUAAUAAAAGCAACCAUGUAGAGCCCUUAAAAAAGUGU
RNAcentral lists this long non-coding RNA (1185 nucleotides) under Cyanistes caeruleus (blue tit). RNAcentral describes it as "lncRNA (ENSCCEG00000007027.1)". Lineage: Eukaryota; Metazoa; Chordata; Aves; Passeriformes; Paridae. The record is from RNAcentral.